RNAcentral lists this ribosomal RNA (647 nucleotides) under uncultured Actinomycetes bacterium. Its description in RNAcentral is "bacterial SSU rRNA". It matches the Rfam family "Bacterial small subunit ribosomal RNA", at positions 232 to 885 of the family's 1533-position model. The record is from RNAcentral. Lineage: Bacteria; Bacillati; Actinomycetota; Actinomycetes.
CGCGGCCUAUCAGCUUGUUGGUGGAGUAAUGGCCUACCAAGGCGACGACGGGUAGCCGGCCUGAGAGGGUGACCGGCCACACUGGGACUGAGACACGGCCCAGACUCCUACGGGAGGCAGCAGUGGGGAAUAUUGCACAAUGGGCGCAAGCCUGAUGCAGCGACGCCGCGUGAGGGAUGACGGCCUUCGGGUUGUAAACCUCUUUCAGUAGGGAAGAAGCCUUUCGGGGUGACGGUACUUGCAGAAGAAGCGCCGGCUAACUACGUGCCAGCAGCCGCGGUAAUACGUAGGGCGCAAGCGUUAUCCGGAAUUAUUGGGCGUAAAGAGCUCGUAGGCGGUUUGUCGCGUCUGCUGUGAAAGACCGGGGCUCAACUCCGGUUCUGCAGUGGGUACGGGCAGACUAGAGUGCAGUAGGGGAGACUGGAAUUCCUGGUGUAGCGGUGAAAUGCGCAGAUAUCAGGAGGAACACCGAUGACGAAGGCGGGUCUCUGGGCUGUAACUGACGCUGAGGAGCGAAAGCAUGGGGAGCGAACAGGAUUAGAUACCCUGGUAGUCCACGCCGUAAACGUUGGGAACUAGGUGUUGGCGACAUUCCACGUCGUCGGUGCCGCAGCUAACGCAUUAAGUUCCCCGCCUGGGGAGUACGG